CGGGGUGCAGCAGGCGCGAAAACUUUACAAUGCGGGAAACCGUGAUAAGGGGACACCGAGUGCCAGCAUCAUAUGCUGGCUGUCCGGGUGUGUAAAAUACACCUGUUAGCGAGGGCCGGGCAAGACCGGUGCCAGCCGCCGCGGUAACACCGGCGGCCCGAGUGGUGAUCGUGAUUAUUGGGUCUAAAGGGUCCGUAGCCGGUUUGGUCAGUCCUCCGGGAAAUCUGACGGCUCAACCGUUAGGCUUUCGGGGGAUACUGCCAGGCUUGGAACCGGGAGAGGUAAGAGGUACUACAGGGGUAGGAGUGAAAUCUUGUAAUCCCUGUGGGACCACCUGUGGCGAAGGCGUCUUACCAGAACGGGUUCGACGGUGAGGGACGAAAGCUGGGGGCACGAACCGGAUUAGAUACCCGGGUAGUCCCAGCCGUAAACGAUGCUCGCUAGGUGUCAGGCAUGGCGCGACCGUGUCUGGUGCCGCAGGGAAGCCGUGAAGCGAGCCACCUGGGAAGUACGGCCGCAAGGCUGAAACUUAAAGGAAUUGGCGGGGGAGCACAAGGGCGAUUCG
Molecule: ribosomal RNA, 565 nt
Filed under: uncultured archaeon
Lineage: Archaea
Description: bacterial SSU rRNA
Rfam family: Archaeal small subunit ribosomal RNA
Source: RNAcentral